CAAAUAAAUAAAAACUUUCAACAACGGAUCUCUUGGUUCUGGCAUCGAUGAAGAACGCAGA
This 61-nucleotide ribosomal RNA is filed under the name Clonostachys rosea. Its description in RNAcentral is "partial 5.8S ribosomal RNA". The stretch from base 13 to 61 matches the Rfam family "5.8S ribosomal RNA", at positions 1 to 49 of the family's 154-position model. Rfam says of the family: 5.8S ribosomal RNA (5.8S rRNA) is a component of the large subunit of the eukaryotic ribosome. It is transcribed by RNA polymerase I as part of the 45S precursor that also contains 18S and 28S rRNA. Lineage: Eukaryota; Fungi; Ascomycota; Sordariomycetes; Hypocreales; Bionectriaceae. The record is from RNAcentral.